Stomoxys calcitrans (stable fly) is the source of this 621-nucleotide long non-coding RNA. RefSeq lists it as uncharacterized. NCBI's taxonomy places the organism in Eukaryota, Metazoa, Arthropoda, Insecta, Diptera, Muscidae. The transcript has 2 exons. The record is from RefSeq and is a predicted model, not a curated record.
UAAUAAAGCGACAUUUGUAUUAUUUGCUUUAAGUUGUCGAUUAAAUCUCAGUAUAAAGAUAAUAGCCAUUCAUAUUCUAAUCACAGCAUUUUGAUCUAAUUGAUGAUUUGGGGUGUGAAUUUGAUGAGCAUUUGGCUAUAGCUGCCCAUCCUGCAAACGUGCUAGAGUUAUCGCUUCAGCCAUCAUGGGACAGAUUAGUUUCAAACAUAUCCUUCAAUGUGUCCAUACUGGCAUGAGUCCAGCAAACGUUAUGCAAAGCAAUCUUGAUCUACGAGUCUUUAACGACAGACUGAAAGUGAGAAGAAUACGAACUAUGUGGAAAUUGUUUCAUUGGUGGUAAUCAGGGAUAUGGAACGGAGCGGAUUGGAGCGUGGAGUGAAGCCGAGCAGGCCUAUUUUACCAGAGCGGCAGUGAAGCGUGAGCGAAAAUUUUUGAACCCGGAGCGAAGCGUUCUCCAAUCUCAAAAUUCGCUUCGCCCCGACAAAAUAAAAAGCUUUAAUAUACGCAUUUUCAUACCCUCCACCAUAGGAUGGGGGUAUACUAAUUUCGUCAUUCUGGUUGUAGCACAUCGAAAUAUUCCUCUAAGACCCCAUAAAGUAUAUAAAUUCUUGAUCGCCAUGA